This is a long non-coding RNA of Lycium barbarum (goji berry), 568 nucleotides long. RefSeq lists it as uncharacterized. Lineage: Eukaryota; Viridiplantae; Streptophyta; Magnoliopsida; Solanales; Solanaceae. The record is from RefSeq and is a predicted model, not a curated record. The transcript is spliced from 3 exons.
ACAGCCUAAUUGCGGGGGUUUAAUAGCGGGGGUCAGCUCCAACCUCCGCAAAUCUCAUUAAAUAACGGGGGUUUAUAUAACCGACAUUAUUAAAAGAAACUAGCAGCGGUUUAAAACCUCCUCCAUCUAAAAAAAAAAAAAAAAAAAUAGCGCGCAUUUUUCCCACACUUUUUUUCGCUGCUCUUUUUCUCUGAAUAACAAAAAGCUCGCAUAACAAAACCCCUUUCUCAAAAAGCUCAGUCUUUCACUAAUUUUUUUCCCUCAAGAUAAUUUCAUGCUUCCUUUUGAGAGAUUAGCUCAAAUUUCGUGCUUAUUUUCUUUGGAUUUCCCUCAAGUGGCUAAGGCGUCUCUAUCACUCACUCUGGCAUAGAAAUCGACAACCAAGUGAUGUGGCUAGUGGAUCCCUUUCGCCCAUGGAUGCAAGAAGAUCAUGCGGUGAUAGUAAUCCUAGUGACAACCGUUGAUUUCAUUGUAUUGUUUGGUAGGAACGAAUGUUAGAACGCUGGAGUGAAUGUAUUGUGUUUAAAUUUAGUUUUUGAGUGAUAUGAUAAUGCUACUUAAAUUUUUA